Molecule: ribosomal RNA, 423 nt
Filed under: uncultured bacterium
Lineage: Bacteria
Description: bacterial SSU rRNA
Rfam family: Bacterial small subunit ribosomal RNA
Source: RNAcentral
UGGGGAAUAUUGCGCAAUGGGCGAAAGCCUGACGCAGCAACGCCGCGUGGGUGAUGAAGGCCUUCGGGUUGUAAAGCCCUGUCGCCCGGGACGAAUAAGCCGUUUAACAAACGGCCCUGACGGUACCGGGAGAGGAAGCACCGGCUAACUCUGUGCCAGCAGCCGCGGUAAUACAGAGGGUGCCAGCGUUGUUCGGAAUUAUUGGGCGUAAAGGGCGCGUAGGCGGCGCCGUGUGUCGGGUGUGAAAUCCCACCUCUUAAAGGUGGAAUUGCAUUCGAAACUACGGCGCUAGAGUACCGGAGAGGAUGGUGGAAUUCCUGGUGUAGAGGUGAAAUUCGUAGAUAUCAGGAGGAACACCGGUGGCGAAGGCGGCCAUCUGGACGGAUACUGACGCUGAGGCGCGAAAGCGUGGGGAUCAAACAG